AAGUCCACUGAUUCAGGUAAAACCGUCAAAUCUGGUGAAGUCACAUCAGCACACACAAACUUGACAUUCUUGUGGUGCCCGUUGAUACUUUCAUUCUUCUUAGUCACUUCUUCAAUAAAGUCCACUGCUACAAGCUCCCCAGCCUUCUCGGCUAAGUCCCCAGUGAAACGGCCAAUACCAGCACCCAAUUCCAACACGGAUUUACCUUCAUAUGAAGGGAGCAGUGAAAGCACCUCAGGCCUAUCCUCUUUGUCAAGAUCAGAUGCUGCAGAAUCACGCAUCAUUGCCUCCAAA
RNAcentral lists this unclassified non-coding RNA (294 nucleotides) under Hevea brasiliensis (rubber tree). Lineage: Eukaryota; Viridiplantae; Streptophyta; Magnoliopsida; Malpighiales; Euphorbiaceae. The record is from RNAcentral.